CUUUGCUAUAGUCAUGUAAAUUGCACUACAAUAUUUUGAGAUACCUAUACUUGAAUCGCUAGCACAGAUUUUGUGUGUCCCCUUCCCCCACAAAUAGCUAACUUAUUAUUUAUCUUAAAAGAAGUACAUUCUAGAUAAAAUUAUAACAUGAGAAAAGUACUUAUGAUCUCUUUUCUCAGUUUCCUACUCUGACUUACGUGAAUUCCCUAGGCUGGGAAAGAAAACUAUAGGUAAAAGGAAGGAGUUUAAAGGAAGCUUAAGCUAUCGCUUCAGCCUUCUACAUCGGGUAUGAUAAAGUUCUCUGAACUACAAGGGCUAAGUUUUCACACGUAGAACAUACCACGAGGGAUCUUUCUUCUUGAAGGAAUUACAGUUACCCUAUCCUCCACCAUUACAUAUCAGGUACAAAGUCACCGAAUCUAUUAGUUUAUCCAUCACUGUACCAAGAGGAACCAAAUCCUGACCUGAUGAAGAUGGGGGCUAGGAAUGACUCAGAUUUGAGGAUGUCAAGGCCUCCUCACCAGCCCUGAACUGCUUAAUUCUGGACAGUUAUGUUGAAGAUAAAUGGAUUUGUAUCUUACAUAAGUUAAUGUAUUCUGGAAUCUUUAUGUUGUACAGUCUAUGCUUAACUGAUACAGUCUCCAUAGUCUAAGCCAAGGAUUUGCAAAUUAUGGCCCCAAGGUUAAAUCUAGCCUGUCACCUGUUUUUGUACAGAAAGCUUUAUUAGAACACAGCCAUGCUCAUUCCUUUAUAUAUGUUACAGCACCUUUUGUGAUGCAUGUGCAGACUUUAGUACAGAUUUAACAAAGAUUAUUUGGCCUGCUAAAUCUAAAAUAUUUAUCUGACACUUGUAGAAAACAAUUGCUGACCCCUGAUCGAAACUCUAAAUGAUGUAAGUUGAUAGGGAAAAUAAUAUAAAUAAGAUGCUUUCCCUGCAUCGUGAUCUAUCUAUUUUCAAAGGGUUUCCUGCAGUAAAGUAAGGAAAGAGAGCAAGAAUAACUACAUUAUUGACCUUGGUUAGUUUAAUGUAUAUAUUUUGAUCUCUUUCCUACUUCUUUAUUACUAUCACAAUACUAAGUUUUGCCUUGGCCUUCUCCACAGCUCAGGAGAGAAAAUCAUCUGAGUCUCACACCAGCUUCAAACAGCCUUUAGCAUUUUAUGGAAGUGAACAAUUUUUGACAAAUCCUAAUAGGGGAGUUUUUCCAGAUAAAGGGAGAUAACCUCCCUUAUCUAGGACUCUGCCUCCUAUUACUUUUACAGUUCCUUUAGUAUUAAGUAUGACCUGAGAAAAUCUCCAAUUUUCCAGCAAUCGUGCUGGGAACCAUUGCUACACCUUGGUCUGAACCUAUUGAAACCCACUGUCUUUAAAGUUGUUUUACUUGAACUUUUAUGCAUCUGGCUACUGCCUCCAUUGAAAGUAGCCACAACUUUGUCAAAUACAAGCACACAUGACCUUGAAUCUUCAUAACCAACCUGAUUUCUCAUCAUACAUGACUUCGCUCCCAUUCAUUUUUAUAAUGGUGCCUGUUCUUCAGUUAUUUUUCACUUUAAGAAAAUCCUGCCAUCUGGCCACUUUUUAAAGUUGAUUUAACAGUUACAACACUAUGUUAACUUUAAUAAGAUAUUCACUUUAUCUUUUAAAAUCACUGUCACGUACCUAAUACUACUGCAAGGACAGUCAAGAGAGUAAACUCCUUGUAUAAGCAAAUUAAAAGCAUUAAAUUCUAACCCUCAUCAGCACUUGGGAAUAAUUGCUCCUCUACAUUACUAGGGGAAGGCUGAGUAUUGGGUUUUCAGCUUUAUAUGGUGGAUAAUCUAAUGAUAUUUCAUACUGGACUUUUCUAAAGAUAAUGAGUGCACUAUCUGAAAGUUCUUAGCAUUUAAUUCAAUCACUGAUAAACUUGAUGCUCUAUUGAAUUUUCCUUGAAAGCUUUUUUAAAUAUUUACCCUCAUGUCUUAAAAUAUACUUGAAUUAAUAUAUACUUAAUGUAUAUAUAAAGUAUACAACAUUUGCCUAUAUUAAUAUAUGUGUAUUUCUAUAUAUAAUCUUUUACUUUGUUUCUUAAAUAUACACUUAAGACUUAACAUAUGCUUAAUAAAUAAAAUGUAAUUAAAGACACACUUUAAACAUUAUUUGUGUAUGAUAUAUUGUAACAAAAAUAUUCUAGACUUGACUCCUUAAAAUGUAUUGUAUUACAUUACUGCAAGUUAUAUUUUAUUAGUAUAUCUUUAAUUUUUUUCUAGAAAGAUUUUAUGACCAGGAUAGAAGAAAAAAAGUGAAUACCUUAAAGAAGAAGACAGAAUGCAUCAUAACAUAAACUACUUAAAAAUAGCCCCAUUCCCAGUUGACGUUUGUCCUUCCAGACAUUACUCUCUAUGAAUUUUCAGUAUUUUAUAGUAGUCCAUGUAUGCAACUAUGUAUUCUGCUUUUUAAAUUUCCCUGUACAAUAUUUUAUAUAAACUAUGCCAUUUUUAAACUUAAACUUUAAUCCCAGUUUGAAAACUUUUUGUGUUAUAUAAAAUAUUGAGAUAAAU
This 2535-nucleotide long non-coding RNA is filed under the name Homo sapiens (human). RNAcentral describes it as "HSALNT0210530". Lineage: Eukaryota; Metazoa; Chordata; Mammalia; Primates; Hominidae. The record is from RNAcentral.